Columba livia (rock pigeon) is the source of this 756-nucleotide long non-coding RNA. RefSeq lists it as uncharacterized. The transcript is spliced from 3 exons. The record is from RefSeq and is a predicted model, not a curated record. NCBI's taxonomy places the organism in Eukaryota, Metazoa, Chordata, Aves, Columbiformes, Columbidae.
GAAUGCUCAGGGGGGAUGAGGAUGCUUUGGGGGGCUGGGGAUGCACCGGGGCUGCAGAAUGCUGCCUGUGCUCCUCAGUUUGUGUCCUCAGAGUUGGAAGACGUGUCUGGGGAUGAUGAUGGCAGCUGGGAGGGGCACAGAGCAGCCUGACCACCCAGCCCUGCAGGCAGCAGGUGCUCCAGCAAUGGUGAGCCUGGACGGGUGGCGGCGAGGAGGAAAAAUUGGACGUUUGGCCUUGCUGCUCAUGAAACACAUUUCUUCAUAAUUUUGCAUCCCUUCUCACUAAAACUCAUCUGAAAAACCAAGUGUGUAAGAACUUUUAUCAGUCAAUCGAAGAGAAGGUGCCUGUUUCUCACUGUUCUCUCAGGAAAGUCGCAGAAAUGCUUAAAUUUGGGGAAAAUAUUUGGCUUCGGGCCAAAGGAAAGUUUUAGCUCCCCAUGCUUUAAGUUUUGCAUGUAGAAGUUUUCCCUGGAAUUCUUCACCGGUGGGGUGGAGGGAAUGAGAAUAAUUCCCCUUGAACUUCCUAAUCCUUCAGUCAGGAAAUCCGGGCUCCUUGGAUUAUCUGUUUUGGGUUGUAGAGGCAGAACAACAGGUAAACCAAACCCAAAGAGGGUACUUUCAAUAUCCAGCCAAACGCAUCCUCUUGAAUCUCAACUGAUACGAAAGGUCGGAAUAUAUCGUAUAGGAAAACCAAGAAGGUGUGAUGUCCUCUCAACAAGUUUUGCUUUAGACCAUCAGUGCACGAUGAUAAUGAAA